UACGAAGGGUGCAAGCGUUACUCGGAAUUACUGGGCGUAAAGCGUGCGUAGGUGGUUUGUUAAGUCUGAUGUGAAAGCCCUGGGCUCAACCUGGGAAUUGCAUUGGAUACUGGCAGGCUAGAGUGCGGUAGAGGAUGGCGGAAUUCCCGGUGUAGCAGUGAAAUGCGUAGAGAUCGGGGAGGAACAUCUGUGGCGAAGGCGGCCAUCUGGACCAGCACUGACACUGAGGCACGAAAGCGUGGGGAGCAAACAGG
This 254-nucleotide ribosomal RNA is filed under the name uncultured bacterium. RNAcentral describes it as "partial 16S ribosomal RNA". It matches the Rfam family "Bacterial small subunit ribosomal RNA", at positions 524 to 776 of the family's 1533-position model. The record is from RNAcentral.